This is a non-coding RNA of Macaca mulatta (Rhesus monkey), 594 nucleotides long. The record is from RefSeq and is a predicted model, not a curated record. Lineage: Eukaryota; Metazoa; Chordata; Mammalia; Primates; Cercopithecidae.
GAAAAAUGUUUCUGGGCCAAGAUUGAGUGGUAAUUAAGCACUACCUAGACAAAAGAAGGAAUGGGCAUUUUUGAGGAACUGGGAGCAACCUAGGGAGAGAAUUGAGAUGAUUGUGGUUGAAGAGAAAUCAACAAGUCAUCAUGCAGAGCCUAGGACUGAGAACAACGUCCUGGAAAGCAGAGCCAAUAUAUGAAGAGAAACCCAGUGCUGCAUCUUUACCUAUCCCAGGGUUUUUCAGGCAAAAGAAACAGACCCAGUUACCUCAAGAAAAUUUUAAAUGGGAGAGAAAUUUUUUCUCUAGCUUCAAGAAGAACAAGUAUCAGCACAUCUCCCAGAAUUUCUGCAGCAGGAACUCAUGGAGACGAUGCCAUCGAGUGAUUUAGCUCCUACUCCUUCCAUCCUUCCUUCUCUUUCUCAAGGCUUAAUUCCUAUGGGAGGAAGAUUCUGUUUGUCUCUACUUGGGGCAACCAUCUACUGUUGUGAUCAAGGGAGUAAAGUCGUGGAUGGAAAGCCUAUCAGAGAAAAUGCUGAGCAAAUGAAUCCCUGAGAUCCACAACAUCCUAUAAAUAGUCCUUAUUAAAUAAGUAAAUCAUA